This 296-nucleotide unclassified non-coding RNA is filed under the name Hevea brasiliensis (rubber tree). The record is from RNAcentral. Lineage: Eukaryota; Viridiplantae; Streptophyta; Magnoliopsida; Malpighiales; Euphorbiaceae.
ACCUCCCUUCAAAAAAAAGAAAAAGAAAGAAGAAGAAGGAAGAUAGGAGAGAGAAAAGAAGAAGAAGGUAAGCAUGGCAUUUAGAGCUUUUAUUUCUAACCAUGUGAGAAUGAACUAUUGAAGCAAGUAAAGCUACUUCAAGAGAUUUCAAGCAUUGAGUAUGUUUGUCUGUUCAUUACUCCAAAUCAAUUAAUGCAUAUUAAGGAUACAGUUUCCUCUUCUGUUAGUGCACCACCACCGAAAAAGUCAAAGUCCUACAAGUAAUUUGGGUAACUUGUCUCUGUCCUCUAAUGGAG